Molecule: ribosomal RNA, 510 nt
Filed under: uncultured bacterium
Lineage: Bacteria
Description: partial 16S ribosomal RNA
Rfam family: Bacterial small subunit ribosomal RNA
Source: RNAcentral
GACGAACGCUGGCGGCGUGCUUAACACAUGCAAGUCGAACGAAGAGCGACGGAAGCUUGCUUCUAUCAAUCUUAGUGGCGAACGGGUGAGUAACGCGUAAUCAACCUGCCCUUCAGAGGGGGACAACAGUUGGAAACGACUGCUAAUACCGCAUACGAUCUAACCUCGGCAUCGAGGAUAGAUGAAAGGUGGCCUCUACAUGUAAGCUAUCACUGAAGGAGGGGAUUGCGUCUGAUUAGCUAGUUGGAGGGGUAACGGCCCACCAAGGCGAUGAUCAGUAGCCGGUCUGAGAGGAUGAACGGCCACAGUGGGACUGAGACACGGCCCAGACUCCUACGGGAGGCAGCAGUGGGGAAUCUUCCGCAAUGGACGAAAGUCUGACGGAGCAACGCCGCGUGAGUGAUGACGGCCUUCGGGUUGUAAAGCUCUGUUAAUCGGGACGAAAGGCCUUCUUGCGAAUAGUGAGAAGGAUUGACGGUACCGGAAGAGAAAGCCACGGCUAACUACGUG